Enhydra lutris kenyoni (northern sea otter) is the source of this 974-nucleotide long non-coding RNA. RefSeq lists it as uncharacterized. NCBI's taxonomy places the organism in Eukaryota, Metazoa, Chordata, Mammalia, Carnivora, Mustelidae. The transcript is spliced from 2 exons. The record is from RefSeq and is a predicted model, not a curated record.
CCAAAGGUGGCUCCAGAGCUUUCCUUCCUGUGCUGCAAAUUAUAUCCUCUUGCUAGGCCUGCCGGAGAACCCCAAAGACGUGAGCUAAAAAUAAGCAUCCAGGUAGUUUAGGAAGACCUCCUUUGAAAUUACCCCUCUGGGGAGAAAUGCAAAUAGCCCUAGGGCCUCUGGGAAUUGCCAGAAAAAGAAGAGCCCCUGAGGCUGCUCACUGCCCGAAGAAUGGUCUUCUUCGCAGAGUAGGAGAAAAUUGCCACUGAUGUCAAGAUUUUACUUGCAACACAUACGACUGCAGGAGAGAAGCCACCUUGAUUUCCAGUGUUUCCAAGUCCAGAAAUGCCAGUGAAUAGAUUCACUGGCCAGGCUUAGGCACCGAGUCAUGGCUGCUCCUGCACCCUUGGAUGGAAGUGGGAGAAUAAGGACAUGAGGAAGUAUUCAAGGGAUUUCCCAGAAUAGAGAUGCUGUGUUAUAACCCCUGAGUAUCUAAAAGGUAGACCUUCCUACUUCUCUCCAUCUCUUAGGGGUAUAGGUCGUCGGUUCUGCUUUAAACUUAUCCUGACUUAGCACCAUUCUCUGUAAUAACUCUACCCUCAACUCCUAUGGUGAACUCAAGAAAAUGACUUUUAUCAGAAGUGAGAAUGCCUCAGUGUGUUGCCUUCUGUGUUACGUGAACUCUGUAAGAGAGUGUCAAAAGUAGGAUGCCCAAGUAUAAGCAUAUUUUUAAUGAAUAAAUUUGACCAGUUAUUUUCCAAAAAGAUUGCAGCUAAUUGUACUUCCAUGAACAAAGUGUCAGAAAAUGCCAUUUCCCUAUACACUUAUGGGCAUUGGACAUCAUUAAUCUUUUUAAUAUUCAUCAGUCUGAUAGGUCAUAAAUGGCAUAUUGUUUUGUUUGCAUUUUCCUGACUACUAAUAAGACUGUACAUCUUCUAUAAUUGUGAUCCACCUUCCUUUGUUCUCAAAUAAAUUGCCUGUUCCUA